Molecule: ribosomal RNA, 487 nt
Filed under: uncultured bacterium
Lineage: Bacteria
Description: partial 16S ribosomal RNA
Rfam family: Bacterial small subunit ribosomal RNA
Source: RNAcentral
GAUGAACGCUAGCGAUAGGCUUAACACAUGCAAGUCGAGGGGCAGCACAAGGUAGCUUGCUAUCUGGGUGGUGACCGGCGCACGGGUGCGUAACGCGUAUGCAACUUGCCCUAUACAGGAGGAUAACCCGUCGAAAGACGGACUAAUACUGCGUAUGCUCACAACUUGGCAUCAAGUGGUGAGGAAAGAAAUUCGGUAUAGGAUAGGCAUGCGUCCCAUUAGCUUGUUGGUGAGGUAACGGCUCACCAAGGCAACGAUGGGUAGGGGAACUGAGAGGUUUAUCCCCCACACUGGUACUGAGACACGGACCAGACUCCUACGGGAGGCAGCAGUGAGGAAUAUUGGUCAAUGGGCGCGAGCCUGAACCAGCCAAGUCGCGUGAAGGAUGACUGUCUUAUGGAUUGUAAACUUCUUUUAUACGGGAAUAACAAGAGUCACGUGUGACUCCCUGCAUGUACCGGAUGAAUAAGCAUCGGCUAACUCCGUG